CUCAAUCCAUUUACGAUCCCUCAGAGCCUCCCCUAUACCAUUCUUCAUUCUUCCGCAUCACCAUAAGACUGGUCUCUCUUGAAGGUUUAUGAUGGGUGAACCAUCAUUACAAGAGCCGAAUGAGAAUGUUGUUGUAGCAUAAAAAUCAACCCCACUGAGCAAUCAAAUGAAGCACCACUUAGCAUGUAAGGGAUGAAGCUGAUCUUUCUUCUAUUUUGUUUCAGCAUAAUCUCUAGCUUUUUGAUAUGUAAUGGAUUGUAAUAUGCAUCAGUUGGAUUGUCAUUCAAUGAAUGUUUUUUCAUUCAUCCACUGACAGAACUUGUGUAUGUUCUUUUGCAUUAUGAUUAUAACUUGUGUUUCAAUUUUUAUUCA
This is a long non-coding RNA of Rosa chinensis, 372 nucleotides long. RefSeq lists it as uncharacterized. The record is from RefSeq and is a predicted model, not a curated record. The transcript has 2 exons. NCBI's taxonomy places the organism in Eukaryota, Viridiplantae, Streptophyta, Magnoliopsida, Rosales, Rosaceae.